Molecule: ribosomal RNA, 253 nt
Filed under: uncultured bacterium
Lineage: Bacteria
Description: partial 16S ribosomal RNA
Rfam family: Bacterial small subunit ribosomal RNA
Source: RNAcentral
UACGGGGGGGGCAAGCGUUGUUCGGAAUUACUGGGCGUAAAGGGCUCGUAGGCGGCCAACUAAGUCCGACGUGAAAUCCCUCAGCUUAACUGGGGAACUGCGUCUGAUACUGGAUGGCUUGAGAUUGGGAGAGGGAUGCGGAAUUCCAGGUGUAGCGGUGAAAUGCGUAGAUAUCGUAAGGAAGACCAGUGGCGAAGGCGGGUCUCUGGACAGUUCCUGACGCUGAGGCACGAAGGUCAGGGGAGCAAACGGG